UGGGGUUGUGGCUCAGAGGUAGAGCACUUGCCUAGCAUGCAUGAGGCACUGGGUUUGAUCCUCAGCACCACAA
Molecule: transfer RNA, 73 nt
Filed under: Marmota monax (woodchuck)
Lineage: Eukaryota; Metazoa; Chordata; Mammalia; Rodentia; Sciuridae
Description: tRNA.Ala
Rfam family: tRNA
About the family: Transfer RNA (tRNA) molecules are approximately 80 nucleotides in length. Their secondary structure includes four short double-helical elements and three loops (D, anti-codon, and T loops).
Source: RNAcentral